Molecule: ribosomal RNA, 253 nt
Filed under: uncultured bacterium
Lineage: Bacteria
Description: partial 16S ribosomal RNA
Rfam family: Bacterial small subunit ribosomal RNA
Source: RNAcentral
UACAGAGGGUGCAAGCGUUAAUCGGAUUUACUGGGCGUAAAGGGCGCGUAGGUGGUUACAUAAGUGAGAGGUGAAAUCCCCGGGCUUAACCUGGGAACUGCCUCUUAUACUGUGUAGCUGGAGUGAAGUAGAGGGUAGUGGAAUUUCCGGUGUAGCGGUGAAAUGCGUAGAUAUCGGAAGGAACACCAGUGGCGAAGGCGGCUACCUGGACUUUUACUGACACUGAGGCGCGAGAGCGUGGGUAGCAAACAGG